CCCCGCCGCCCCGAGCCCAGGCCGGCGGCGGCCCGGCCCCGCGAGCUGCCAUUCUCUCGCGCCUCUUGACCAGGGCAGGGCUGCCUCCGUCGCUCCCGGGGCUCGGAGCUCCCCGCGGGCGCUCAGUGGGGCGGCGGGUCCCUGCGGUGGUAGGAGCCGGCCUGAGCAUUGCGCCCGAGAGCCUCAGCCCUCUCACUUGGAAGUCACCCAGCCAACGGCCUGGGCUCUUCCAGUGCUAGCCACCAGUAGCUGUUCUGAAUAUGGGAAUCAUAGAAUCUCGGAAUCAUUUAGGAGCCUUGAAAGAUCGCACUCCUCCAGUCCCAGAAUCCUGGCUUUUGUUUGUUUUGCACAUUCAGCCUAAAACUUCAUGUCAUGAUACUGUGUGUAAUUGGUGGCACUUGUUGAGUUCAGAAUCAGCCCAGAAGUGAGAACCCAGAAAUGUGACUGAAACAUCUCCAUUUUUACACAGAGCUAUGAGAAUCAGCUGCUGCUACAGGAUUUUCUCCACAACUUGCCAAGCUGCAACUCAUUUCUUGCUGUACUCAUCAUGUCCCAGAAAGUCUACAUAGCUCAAGAUUUCAGAAUGAGAGAUUCAUUUUGAACAUGACAUGAAAUAUAACCAGAAUUUCAGCUUGCUGUCCCAUAUGCCACAUCAUUUAUCACUCUCUCUUCAUAAAUUGGUGGUUAGACA
Numida meleagris (helmeted guineafowl) is the source of this 691-nucleotide long non-coding RNA. RefSeq lists it as uncharacterized. The record is from RefSeq and is a predicted model, not a curated record. NCBI's taxonomy places the organism in Eukaryota, Metazoa, Chordata, Aves, Galliformes, Numididae. The transcript is spliced from 3 exons.